UGAGGAAUAUUGGUCAAUGGGCGAGAGCCUGAACCAGCCAAGUAGCGUGCAGGAUGACGGCCCUAUGGGUUGUAAACUGCUUUUAUAUGGGAAUAAAGUGAGGGACGUGUCCCUUAUUGCAUGUACCAUACGAAUAAGGACCGGCUAAUUCCGUGCCAGCAGCCGCGGUAAUACGGAAGGUCCAGGCGUUAUCCGGAUUUAUUGGGUUUAAAGGGAGCGUAGGCUGUUUGUUAAGCGUGUUGUGAAAUGUAAGAGCUCAACUUUUAGAUUGCAGCGCGAACUGGCAGACUUGAGUGCGCACAACGUAGGCGGAAUUCAUGGUGUAGCGAUGAAAUGCUUAGAUAUCAUGACGAACUCCGAUUGCGAAGACAGAUUACGGGAGCGCAACUGACGCUAAAGCUCGAAGGUGCGGGUAUCGAACAGG
Molecule: ribosomal RNA, 424 nt
Filed under: Verrucomicrobiota bacterium
Lineage: Bacteria; Pseudomonadati; Verrucomicrobiota
Description: Verrucomicrobia bacterium partial 16S ribosomal RNA
Rfam family: Bacterial small subunit ribosomal RNA
Source: RNAcentral